AAUCAACGCUGGCGGCGUGCCUAACACAUGCAAGUCGAACGAGAAAGUGGCAGCAAUGCCAUGAGUACAGUGGCGCACGGGUGAGUAACACGUGACUAACCUACCCAGGAGUGGGGAAUAACUUCGGGAAACCGAGGCUAAUACCGCAUAACACCUACGGGUCAAAGGAGCAAUUCGCUUCUGGAGGGGGUCGCGGCCGAUUAGUUAGUUGGCAGGGUAAUGGCCUACCAAGACGAUGAUCGGUAUCCGGCCUGAGAGGGCGCACGGACACACUGGAACUGAAACACGGUCCAGACUCCUACGGGAGGCAGCAGUGGGGAAUUUUGCGCAAUGGGGGAAACCCUGACGCAGCAACGCCGCGUGGAGGAUGAAGUCCUUC
This 379-nucleotide ribosomal RNA is filed under the name uncultured bacterium. RNAcentral describes it as "bacterial SSU rRNA". It matches the Rfam family "Bacterial small subunit ribosomal RNA", at positions 32 to 419 of the family's 1533-position model. The record is from RNAcentral.